RNAcentral lists this ribosomal RNA (253 nucleotides) under uncultured bacterium. RNAcentral's name for it is "partial 16S ribosomal RNA". It matches the Rfam family "Bacterial small subunit ribosomal RNA", at positions 524 to 776 of the family's 1533-position model. The record is from RNAcentral.
UACGGAGGGUGCAAGCGUUGCUCGGAAUUAUUGGGCGUAAAGGGUAGGUAGGUGGUCUCAUUUGUCUGGGGUGAAAGCCUUGAGCUUAACUCAAGAAGUGCCUCAGAAACGGUGAGACUAGAGUUCUGGAGAGGGUCGUGGAAUUCCCGGUGUAGCGGUGAAAUGCGCAGAUAUCAGGAGGAACACCGGUGGCGAAGGCGGCCAACUGGACGGUGACUGACGCUGAGACGCGAAAGCGUGGGGAGCAAACAGG